UUGUUGCCUAUUUUUAACAGCGAGUCCGGCAAAAAAAAAAUGGGUCAAAUUGUUCUCUCCGGAAGACACGGCUCCUUUAAAUAGGCGUGGUCCCGGCGGAUCUGAGACUGCCUCCGAGAGGGAACUACCGGGAUUCUAGGCUUUCGAAAUGUAACGAGGUUCCUGUAAUCCUCCCACAUAGUCAGUCCAUGUUCAGUGGCCCGGGGUAAACCAGGUCAGUUUCACAGAAGCGCGGGGUGGGGUUAGAAAGCGUGGGACUGAGCUAGACAGAUCCUGAGGGAGAGUGAGUCACACACAGAGAGGGUGAACGUGACAGAAUAGACAGCGUGCGAGAUACAGGAAGAGGCAGAGGAGAGGAAGAGGCAGCGUCAAUGUAUGAGAGAGACAAGCGACUUCCAAGGCAAAGCCGAGAAAGGGAGAGAGUCAUUGAGAGAGACAGUACGAGAGAGAGAGAAUAAGAGUGACACAGAGAGAGAGUCAGUAAGAGUGAAAGAGACGGACAGAGAGAAAGUCAGACAGAGAGGGAAACAGCGACAGACUGGGAGAAGUAGAGAGAGGGACAGUGACAGUUAAAGAGAGGCGGAGACAGACACAGCGACAAAGUAAGUUAGUGGGAGAGAUAGACAUAAAGACAGACGGGCUAAUAAAGGGUGGGGGCGAGGGAGAGUUUGAAACAGGCAAACGAAUGGACGAACCUUGGAUGUAAAAAAAGGGAGAUAAAUGUUGGGGAGGUAGGUGGGAAGAGGAGAUUGUCCCUGCUUCACUUCUCAGUCCGGGACUGGGAGAGUAGGAGCCUGGACUGGAGAAAGCCAUGGACUGAGGGCGGAGUCGGGUUGGAAAGGGAGUGUUCCGGUUCAGAACCUGGGAUGCAACUUCAAACUGAGACCAGUCGGGUCGGUGUGGACUUGUUGGACUGAAGGGUCUGUUUCCACACUGUAGGGAAUCUAAUCAGAAUGCCUUGGUCCCAUUCACUCUUUGCCCUGUGUGUAUUGACCUGCAUUGAUCCAACAGAAACCUAUUGGCUCAAUGCAUCUGGACAAUGCAUGGACUGGGAUGUGAGCAAUGUCCGUGAAGUGAGGGCCUACAACGGGGAGCCAGCAAGAGUUAGCUGUCCCCUCUUCUCAACCCACGUCAAGUUAAACUACAGCACGGCCCGUGGUUCAGGACUGACACUAACGUGGUAUAAAACCAAACAAACUGAAGAGCUGCAAGAGCUGAUUGACUUUGAUCAAGCAGGAAAUCGAAUCACAAAGGAGCAGGAAGUGCUGUGGUUUUGGCCAGUGUUUGCUAAUGAUUCUGGGAAUUACACCUGCAUGUUCAGGAACACUACUUAUUGUCUCAAGGUGGCUGUACCCCUUCUGGUCAUUCAGAAAGGACUGAAUGAUUGCAACAGCAGUAAGGAAAUGAUUUUCCCUGUGCAGUUCGCUCUCGGAGAAACAAAAUACUUGAGCUGUCCAGACACUACUGAAUUCUCCAAGUCUUCAACCAACUCAACAGUUGCCUGGUAUACUUAUAAGGCCCCUUUGGAGCACCACGCAAAGGAUCAGUGUCAGGGGUGUUGUAGAGUUGAGGAAGUGGUGGAGAUUGUGACAGAGAUUGAAGGUAAAUUGGUAUUCCACGUUGUACGAGAAUACCACAGAGGAGAAUACACGUGUAUCGUAACAAUGAAACAAAGAGAACAGCCUUACACUCUGACCAGAACAGUCAGCAUCUCGAUUUGUGCUAGCCAACAGGAAUUGAAGGCACCGGUUUUAAUUUUGCCAAAAGUCAAUCAACAAGUUAUAGUUGAACACGGUCAGGAAGUAAAUUUAACCUGUAGGAUGUAUUUCCAUUGUAUCCAAAAUUCACCCACAACUCUCUGGUGGACUGUCGCUGGGCAACAUGCAGAGGACCUAGCUCCAGCAAUAAAAUUAUUUCAGAGUGAAGAGUUGUUGCAACUCAAGGACAAAAUCAUUACAAACACAAUAAGCUUCAAAACUGUGACCUCGAGUGACCUCCAGAGGAACUACACGUGCUUUGGGCAAAACCGCAAAGGUCUGACCAGUGUACAAGUGACUUUAGCCUGGAAAGCUCCUAGUUAUGCAAUUGAACUUGGAUGCGCCUUUGGAGUUACACUAUCGAUCCUGAUCACUUCCAUCAUUGUCUACCACUUCUGGUGGAUUGAGAUCGUGUUGCUCUACCGACUGUACUUUGGCGCCGAUGAGACAGUGGGAGACGGGAAGGAGUUCGAUGUCUACAUGUCAUACGCGAGGAAUUCCAAAGAGGAGGAGUUUGUCCUCACCACGCUGCAAUCCGUUUUGGAAAACGAAUAUGGAUACAAAAUCUGCAUCUAUGACCGGGAUAGUUUACCCGGUGGGAUCAUUACAGAUGAGACAUUGGCUUGUAUUUGGAAAAGCAGGAGGCUGUUGGUGGUAUUGAGCCCGAAUUACCUAGUGAAUGGGACACAGGCUCUUUUAGAGUUGAAGGCUGGCACUGAACGCAUGGCCAGCACUGGGCAGAUCCGAGUUAUACUGGUGGAGUUCAGCCCAGUGAAGAAAGUCCACCAUGUGCCAGAGCUGAGGAGGCUGAAGGCGGUGACGGCAACCAUCAAGUGGGAAGGGGAGAAGUCCCAAGAUCCCAGGAGCCGAUUCUGGAAGCAGCUCCGGGUCGCUCUUCCCACAAAAAGCAAAACACAGAGGUCCGAGAGAGAGAGCAGGAGGUUAGUGUAUGACAAUUGUGACUCACUCCUACAAGAUGGAAAACUGCCCAGAUAUUCUGUUUCUGAGAACUGAUGAUUGCAAUUGCCAACAAAUAUCUUCAUGGUUAAAGAGCAAACUAUGACUUAAUAGUUGUUGAAUACUCUACAAAGGAAGAAGUCAAAUCCUCAAUAUGUUGAAUAUUAACUUAUUGUUUAACAGUAAAAUUCUUCCUGUAGACCAUGCUCCUUUUCAAAGAUUCUGAAAAGGUACAAAUCAGGGGAGCAGUAAAAGGCGUAAAGUUGCAGAUCAAAUCUUCAAACUGUCGUACAACGUAUUGGUGGCAGUAGAGUGAGGAGGUGGAAAUGUCUAGUGCAUAUUUCAUUCCAAUCUUCUCCUGUCUCAGUGAAACUGUGUCUUACCAAUCACUGCCAAGACAACUGCCCCUUUGCAGCAUUAUCCAAGAAGUUUAACUUCUAAAGGGCAUUUGGUCUCAUGCUCCCUGAAUUUUCAAUUCUGUGUCCUCACUUCCACAACCUUCGCCAGUCUCUAGGUAGACCAGUAACUCUGCUGGCAUUUGUUUUCUGUCCAAUCACAGUUGGCUGGUAGAAAUUCAACUCGCCAGUUUGAUUUCAGAACUAUGCCUCUUCACAUUGACUAUUAAAUUAAUUCAAUUCAGGAACCAUCUCAGAUGGAAGUGACCUUCACAUUCCACCAAAAUGUGGCUAUCAUGAGUGUUCUUCCCUUUACCCGACUUGACAGCAUGGAGCUUUAGUGCAGACUUGAGGGAUGCAUCAGAGAAACCCUUCCCUUCUUGCGUUCCAGUUGAUGUCCCUGAUCUAUCUGGUGUGGCUUCCAGGCCAGUUCAGGCAUGACCUGAAGAACAGCAAAAGAACAAAGGCAGAGGGAUGCAAAUGAUGCUUUCCCAUCAUGAGCCAUUGACCUGUUUCCCCUGUAAUUGUCUCUCAGUUUGUGUGUGUCUGUCUCUGUGGACAAUUCACAGUAUUUUGGUAUUGGCUGCUGAAAGAGAUCAGAAUCAAUAUGUGCCCUUUCUUCAUGGAUGCCGAGAAGGACAAAUGGCAAUAGUUGGAUUCGUUAAUCAAAGAAAUCUCCUCCUGGUGGUGAGACUUCAAAGACUCCAGCAACUCCUUCUCCUUUUUCCUGAAGUACAUUUCUUCCAGUGCCUCCUCUCUUUUGGAGAAAGCUCCUCCACCUUCUCGGAUUGCUCCGUUGGACUUCAUCCAGUCUCCUGUGUUCACUUGUCGACACUGGUUUACAACGAAGCCACACCGGGUGUGCUGGAACAGGAUGUUCCUGAGCUGGAAGCCCAGCAGACUCAUCGCCAUCUUGAUGUUGUUCACAGAAGCUGCAGAACCAUCUCCAUCACGAGUCAGACCUGUGUGCUAUUGUGAUGUCAGAAGCCAGAAGACUCCGUUGUCCCUCAGUGAGCAAUUGCCAUGGUUUCAGGACAAUUUUUUUUUUAUUGACCGUCCAUC
Molecule: non-coding RNA, 4171 nt
Organism: Chiloscyllium plagiosum (whitespotted bambooshark)
Lineage: Eukaryota; Metazoa; Chordata; Chondrichthyes; Orectolobiformes; Hemiscylliidae
Source: RefSeq, a predicted model, not a curated record